AUUGAACGCUGGCGGCAGGCCUAACACAUGCAAGUCGAACGGUAACAGGAAGCAGCUUGCUGCUUUGCUGACGAGUGGCGGACGGGUGAGUAAUGUCUGGGAAACUGCCUGAUGGAGGGGGAUAACUACUGGAAACGGUAGCUAAUACCGCAUAACGUCGCAAGACCAAAGAGGGGGACCUUCGGGCCUCUUGCCAUCGGCUGUGCCCAGAUGGGAUUAGCUAGUAGGUGGGGUAACGGCUCACCUAGGCGACGAUCCCUAGCUGGUCUGAGAGGAUGACCAGCCACACUGGAACUGAGACACGGUCCAGACUCCUACGGGAGGCAGCAGUGGGGAAUAUUGCACAAUGGGCGCAAGCCUGAUGCAGCCAUGCCGCGUGUAUGAAGAAGGCCUUCGGGUUGUAAAGUACUUGCAGCGGGGAGGAAGGGAGUAAAGUUAAUACCUUUGCUCAUUGACGUUACCCGCAGAAGAAGCACCGGCUAACUCCGUG
Molecule: ribosomal RNA, 490 nt
Filed under: uncultured bacterium
Lineage: Bacteria
Description: partial 16S ribosomal RNA
Rfam family: Bacterial small subunit ribosomal RNA
Source: RNAcentral